Molecule: long non-coding RNA, 2159 nt
Organism: Trifolium pratense (red clover)
Lineage: Eukaryota; Viridiplantae; Streptophyta; Magnoliopsida; Fabales; Fabaceae
Exons: 6
Source: RefSeq, a predicted model, not a curated record
GAAAAAAGUGUGAACAAAUGAUCAAAGGGCCAGAAAAGUGGGUCGAAAAUGCAAGGCCCAUUGCGUUUAAGCCCAAAACGGACAAAAAAAAAAUUGCUGGCAGAAGAAACCAUUGAGACGUCGUUUUCUUCCUCUGCUUUGUUUCUUUCUUUUGGCUAAGGUCACUUUCAUUUGGAGACAGUUGGAAUCAAAUUCAAAAUUCAAUUUCUCCCUCUCUUUCAAUAUCUAAACUCACAUUUUUACUCAUCUCUCUCCAUCUUCUCUUAACUCCUGGAACUUCUCUCUCUCCAUGACUAGAAAGGGUCAAGCUUCCUCUCUACACACAAAUUUUCGGAUUCAUUCAUUUCCCCAUCUCUUUUGACAAACCCAGCGACGAGAACGAAUGAUGAAGUAAGGUAUGCACCUCAGAUCCAUAUUCGUUUUUGAUUUACAGAUCAUUUUUUUUAUUCCAGAUCUAUUAUAUUUCUGUUCUUUCAACUUACAUGGAUUCUGCUAAUGAAUUUGAGAAAAGGUAUGUCAUUUGUUCUCUCUCUCUAAUUUUCUAUUUUUGUUCUUGCCUUGGAUUUCAUGAUUUUUUUUCCUUUGGAUUUCAUGAUUUUUUUUUUUUGCUUUGGAUUUCAUGACUAAUUAAAUGCAUGUUCAAAUUGGGAUUUCUUCCUUUCAUGUAUGUAAAGACUCGAGAUUUCUACAAUUUUCACUUUGAGCUUGCAGCAAAGUUUGUAGUUACUGGAUUUUUCUGUUUUUUUUUUUUUGGUAAAUAAGUUUUGAUUGUUGGAUAACCCCAGUUCCUAAUUUUUCUCAAUUGAUAACAACCUCAUUUUAUUUUGAUUUCAAAUUAGCAACUACUGAUAUAAAAUAUCCUAUCAAUUAGUUGUUUCUAUCUUUUAGCUAAUAAUCCCUACAUUUUAGAAGUUGUUAUUGGGAUAAUUUAGAUGGUUUUCUUCACUGCAAUAUGAUUUGUAUUUGUUAAAUUUCAGAUUUUUUUUUUUUGAAGAUUUGUAUCAAUUUAAUUUGUUUUAUUUGUUAUUUGUAAAGGGAUGGUUACUUUUUUUGCUAUUUCAUUCGUUUUCCAUUUAUGUAGUUUUUCUUUCUUACUCAUAGCAGUUUCAUUUUGAUGUCCAUUUUAUGUCUCUUUUUCCACAAAAUUGGGAAUGAUGUGAUGUAUUCAAGAAUUAAGGGUGAUAUUGUUUAUUUAGAGGGUGUACUAAAGGUUAUCAAGCUUCUACUGGAAUAAUGAAUCAGAUAUGGGAAUGAAGAAGCAGCACACGCACCAUGAAGGUGGCGGCAGCCUCAAGCUUCAAAGUUCACAAAUUAGGGUUUGAUUGAGUAAGAUAGGUUAUGAAAUAUACAACACUAACUAUUGAUUUCAUGUUCUUUUUAUUCUUACAUAUUAGGUUCUCUUCUCACCCAAAUCCUUCUUUCAUAUUUCAUGUAUUUCCCCCUUCAAUAUUUCAAUUUCUUUCGUUUUUGAAAUCCCUAAUUUUAUUCAAUUGUAUUUCUAAUCCUUUUUUUUUUCUUUUCCGGCAACAGACAAGUAACAGAUUGAAGCGGCAAUGGAUGGAACCAAACAAGGACACACCGUCGGAACCACUAUUAGGAACCGGUUCAAGUGGGUGCUACCUAAGUCAAGGAAAAAGAAUGUGAAAUAGAUUCAUUGCUAAGGUAUUGGUUGUUACAAAUAUGCAGUAGUUGGAUGGAUCUGAAUAUGAUGAUAUUGGCUACAAGAAAGUGCAGAUAGUAUAUUGGUUCACUACCUUUUGAUCUUGAGGUUGGUCAUAAGAUACUACCAAAUAUAAUUAGGAGUUUUCCCUCAGAAUUAUCCAAACUAAUCGAGAAGGAAGUUGUCAAGUCAAUGACCAUAAUAGAAAACAACUCAAACUGGGAAGGGUUAGCUAAUGAAGAGCUUUGCAUAAAUGACAAGCAAAAUAACUUAGAUGUGCAGUGUAUGGAAACUGAUUAUUUAGCUAUUCUUGACGGCACUUAUGUUGGCUACUUUGUUCUCAAUUUAGUUGUGUAAGCAAAUCUGUUGAGGUGUACAAUUUUAUUUUUUCAAUUUUUAGUGCAACUUAUACAGUGGAAUUGUUGAGUGAAAAAGAUUCUGAGUAUAUUUUAAAGCUGUUUUAAGUCUUUUCCUAAUCUAUUUUUGAUAAUGAUGUUAA